GAUGAAGAACGUAGCGAAAUGCGAUAAGUAAUGUGAAUUGCAGAAUUCAGUGAAUCAUCGAAUCUUUGAACGCACAUUGUGCCCAUUAGUAUUCUAGUGGGCAUGCCUGUUCGAGCGUCAUUUCAACCCUUAAGCCUAGCUUAGUAUUGGGAAUCGACUUUACUGUCGUUCCUCAAAUUCAACGGCGGAUUUAUAGCAAUCUCUGAACGUAGUAAUUUUUUUUCUCGUUUUUGAAAUACUAUAAACCUCAGCCGCUAAACCCCCAAUUUCUUAUGGUUGACCUCGGAUCAGGUAGGAAUACCCGCUGAACUUAAGCAUAUCAAUAAGCGGAGGA
RNAcentral lists this unclassified non-coding RNA (334 nucleotides) under soil metagenome. RNAcentral's name for it is "partial contains 5.8S ribosomal RNA, internal transcribed spacer 2, and large subunit ribosomal RNA". The stretch from base 1 to 120 matches the Rfam family "5.8S ribosomal RNA", at positions 35 to 154 of the family's 154-position model. The record is from RNAcentral.